UCAGUGUGUAACUCUGAGCUCCACACCCAGUGCCAGCUGCUGCUUCCCCAUCCUGGGCAGACACAACAAUUCCUCUCCAGGCCUGGCAGUCAAGGACACCUCCCUGCCUCAGGGCCAGAGAUGGAAACAAAAGUGUCCCCAACCAGCCAUCAAGAGGAGCCAUCAGUGGGGCAGCAGGAUGGAAUUGUGCCUGCAGCUCUCCUGUCACCCGUCCCUGUCCCACGGCCCAGCACGAGCCUUCCUUUGUGUCCCAUGAGAUCCCCCUGGGCUUCUCCCGUGGCUUCAGAAGGAUUUAGGAUGGGAUAACAGGAGAGUGAACUGAGAGGUGUCACAGGGCAGGAACAGCGCCAGAUGAGAAGUCACGGAGUGGAUGGAAGAGAGAAAACUGCCUGGAGCUGGCUGGGCAGAGAGAAGGUCAAUUUUCUACCCCACUGUUGAGGGUUGUUUCCACAUAAGGAUGCUGUGUGGGACUCAGAAUGGGCUGUGCUCCACAGGCAGCAGAUAAAAGGAGCAGAUUUUGUGUUCUACACCUCUCCAGAGCGCCCCACCCUCUGUCUUCAGCUUUCUUGGAGUCUGGCCUCAGGCCACUGCACCCUGUGCUGUU
Passer domesticus (house sparrow) is the source of this 604-nucleotide long non-coding RNA. RefSeq lists it as uncharacterized. The transcript has 3 exons. The record is from RefSeq and is a predicted model, not a curated record. NCBI's taxonomy places the organism in Eukaryota, Metazoa, Chordata, Aves, Passeriformes, Passeridae.